CCUACGGGAGGCAGCAGUGAGGAAUAUUGGUCAAUGGGCGGAAGCCUGAACCAGCCAAGUCGCGUGAGGGAAUAAGGCCCUACGGGUCUUAAACUUCUUUUGCCGGGGAGAAAGGGCGGGGACGUGUCCCGGCCCGGAGAGUACCCGGAGACAAAGCAUCGGCUAGCUACGUGCCAGCCGACGCGGUAAUACGGAGGAUGCGAGCGGUCUCCGGAUUUAUUGGGGUUAAAGGGUGUGUAGGCGGGCGUUUAAGUCAGCGGUAAAAAUUCGGGGCUAAACCCCGUACGGCCGUUGAAACUGGGGGCCUUGAGUGGGCGAGAAGAAGGCGGAAUGCGUGGUGUAGCGGUGAAAUGCAUAGAUAUCACGCAGAACCCCGAUUGCGAAGGCAGCCUUCCGGCGCCCUACUGACGCUGAGGCACGAAAGUGCGGGGAUCGAACAGGAUUAGAUACCCGGGUAGUC
This 460-nucleotide ribosomal RNA is filed under the name uncultured bacterium. Its description in RNAcentral is "partial 16S ribosomal RNA". It matches the Rfam family "Bacterial small subunit ribosomal RNA", at positions 338 to 795 of the family's 1533-position model. The record is from RNAcentral.